Molecule: small RNA, 28 nt
Filed under: Bombyx mori (domestic silkworm)
Lineage: Eukaryota; Metazoa; Arthropoda; Insecta; Lepidoptera; Bombycidae
Description: ovarian small RNA-9463
Source: RNAcentral
UUAUGGGUUCAGGUAAUUUAUCUAUGUA